This 338-nucleotide RNase P RNA is filed under the name Clostridia bacterium. RNAcentral's name for it is "RNase P RNA component class A". It matches the Rfam family "Bacterial RNase P class A". From Rfam's summary of the family: Ribonuclease P (RNase P) is a ubiquitous endoribonuclease, found in archaea, bacteria and eukarya as well as chloroplasts and mitochondria. Its best characterised activity is the generation of mature 5'-ends of tRNAs by cleaving the 5'-leader elements of precursor-tRNAs. The record is from RNAcentral. Lineage: Bacteria; Bacillati; Bacillota; Clostridia.
CGAGGUGAACAGACGAUCGCGGGGCCCGUGAGGGUCAUGAGGAAAGUCCGAGCACCGCAGGGCAGGGUGCCGGCUAACGGCCGGUGGAGGCGACUCCAAGGAGAGUGCAACAGAGAUAUACCGCCGGGUUCGUCCCGGUAAGGCUGGAAAGGCGAGGUAAGAGCUCACCCACGGCUUGGCGACUUGUCCGUGAUGUAAACCCCACCCGGUGCAAGAUUGAAUGAGGACGCAUAUGGCUGCCCGUCAUGUCCUUGUAAUCGCUUGAGUCUGCGCGGCAACGCCAGGCCUGGAUAGAUGAUCGUCCAAUACAGAACUCGGCUUAUGGUCACGCUCGCACC